This 719-nucleotide ribosomal RNA is filed under the name uncultured fungus. RNAcentral's name for it is "SSU rRNA". It matches the Rfam family "Eukaryotic small subunit ribosomal RNA", at positions 826 to 1570 of the family's 1831-position model. Lineage: Eukaryota; Fungi. The record is from RNAcentral.
CGAUGCGGUUCUAUUUUGUUGGUUUCUAGGACCGCCGUAAUGAUUAAUAGGGACAGUCGGGGGCAUCAGUAUUCAAUUGUCAGAGGUGAAAUUCUUGGAUUUAUUGAAGACUAACUACUGCGAAAGCAUUUGUCAAGGAUGUUUUCAUUAAUCAGGAACGAAAGUUAGGGGAUCGAAGACGAUCAGAUACCGUCGUAGUCUUAACCAUAAACUAUGCCGACUAGGGAUCGGACGAUGUUAUUUUUUGACUCGUUCGGCACCUUACGAGAAAUCAAAGUGCUUGGGCUCCAGGGGGAGUAUGGUCGCAAGGCUGAAACUUAGAGAAAUUGACGGAAGGGCACCACCAGGGGUGGAGCCUGCGGCUUAAUUUGACUCAACACGGGGAAACUCACCAGGUCCAGACACAAUGAGGAUUGACAGAUUGAGAGCUCUUUCUUGAUUUUGUGGGUGGUGGUGCAUGGCCGUUCUUAGUUGGUGAAGUGAUUUGUCUGCUUAAUUGCGAUAACGAACGAGACCUUAACCUGCUAAAUAGCCCGUAUUGCUUUGGCAGUACGCUGGCUUCUUAGAGGGACUUUCGGCUCAAGCCGAAGGAAGUUUGAGGCAAUAACAGGUCUGUGAUGCCCUUAGAUGUCCUGGGCUGCACGCGCGUUACACUGACGGAGCCAGCGAGUACUCCCUUGUCCGAAAGGUCCGGGUAAUCUUGUUAAACUCCGUCGUGC